GUGCCAGCCGCCGCGGUAAUACGGAGGGUCCAAGCGUUAUCCGGAUUCACUGGGUUUAAAGGGUGCGCAGGCGGCCAAGUAAGUCAGUGGUGAAAGCCUUCGGCUCAACCGGAGAAUUGCCAUUGAAACUACUUGGCUUGAGUGCAGCAGAGGUAGGCGGAAUGUAGCAUGUAGCGGUGAAAUGCAUAGAUAUGCUACAGAACACCGAUAGCGAAAGCAGCUUACCACACUGUAACUGACGCUGAGGCACGAAAGCAUGGGUAGCAAACAGGAUUAGAAACCCUGGUAGUCC
Molecule: ribosomal RNA, 292 nt
Filed under: uncultured bacterium
Lineage: Bacteria
Description: partial 16S ribosomal RNA
Rfam family: Bacterial small subunit ribosomal RNA
Source: RNAcentral